UGCUCCCUGAAGUCAGCGGCGGACGGGUGAGUAACACGUGGGCAACCUGCCUGUAAGACUGGGAUAACUCCGGGAAACCGGGGCUAAUACCGGAUAAUUCUUUCCCUCACAUGAGGGAAAGCUGAAAGAUGGUUUCGGCUAUCACUUACAGAUGGGCCCGCGGCGCAUUAGCUAGUUGGUGAGGUAACGGCUCACCAAGGCGACGAUGCGUAGCCGACCUGAGAGGGUGAUCGGCCACACUGGGACUGAGACACGGCCCAGACUCCUACGGGAGGCAGCAGUAGGGAAUCUUCCGCAAUGGACGAAAGUCUGACGGAGCAACGCCGCGUGAGUGAUGAAGGUUUUCGGAUCGUAAAACUCUGUUGUUAGGGAAGAACAAGUACCGGAGUAACUGCCGGUACCUUGACGGUACCUAACCAGAAAGCCACGGCUAACUACGUGCCAGCAGCCGCGGUAAUACGUAGGUGGCAAGCGUUGUCCGGAAUUAUUGGGCGUAAAGCGCGCGCAGGCGGUUCCUUAAGUCUGAUGUGAAAGCCCCCGGCUCAACCGGGGAGGGUCAUUGGAAACUGGGGA
This 573-nucleotide ribosomal RNA is filed under the name Cytobacillus oceanisediminis. Its description in RNAcentral is "bacterial SSU rRNA". It matches the Rfam family "Bacterial small subunit ribosomal RNA", at positions 80 to 639 of the family's 1533-position model. Lineage: Bacteria; Bacillati; Bacillota; Bacilli; Caryophanales; Bacillaceae. The record is from RNAcentral.